CGGCGUGCUCUUCGUGUACCGAACUUAGCUAAUUGUAUUAGUUUAAUACAAUUAGCUAAAGUUCGGUACACGAAGAGCACGCCGUAAUGCGAAA
Paramuricea clavata is the source of this 94-nucleotide non-coding RNA. The record is from the annotation of a GenBank genome assembly. Lineage: Eukaryota; Metazoa; Cnidaria; Anthozoa; Malacalcyonacea; Plexauridae.